This 1988-nucleotide ribosomal RNA is filed under the name human gut metagenome. Its description in RNAcentral is "bacterial LSU rRNA". It matches the Rfam family "Bacterial large subunit ribosomal RNA", at positions 1 to 1999 of the family's 2925-position model. The record is from RNAcentral.
GAAAGUAAAGAAGGGCGCAUGGCGGAUGCCUUGGCUCUCGGAGGCGAUGAAGGACGUGAUAAGCUGCGAUAAGCUUUGGGGAGGUGCAAAUGACCUUUGAUCCAGAGAUUUCCGAAUGGGACAACCCAAUAUCUUGAAGAGGUAUUAUCCUACGUUGUUGGAGGCUAACGCAGGGAACUGAAACAUCUUAGUACCUGCAGGAAAAGAAAAUAAACAAUGAUUCCCCCAGUAGUGGCGAGCGAACGGGGAACAGCCCAAACCAUCCAUGUUACGGCAUGGGUGGGGUUGUAGGACUACGCCGUUGCAUGAAGACAUCAGAGAAGAACUUUCUGGAAAGAAAGACCAUAGAGCAUGACAGUUGCGUAUUCGAAUGUUGUCGAAGCAUAGUAGUAUCCUGAGUAGCGCGGAGCACGAGGAAUUCUGCGUGAAUCUGCCGGGACCAUCCGGUAAGGCUAAAUACUCCCGAGAGACCGAUAGCGAACCAGUACCGUGAGGGAAAGGUGAAAAGCACUUCGAACAGAAGAGUGAAAUAGUUCCUGAAACCGUGCGCCUACAAGCGGUCGGAGCUCGUUAAUGAGUGACGGCGUGCCUUUUGCAUAAUGAACCUACGAGUUGCCUUUGCCGGCAAGGUUAAGUGUGACGACACACGUAUCCGAAGCGAAAGCGAGUCUGAACAGGGCGUAUAGUCGGCAGUGGCAGACGCGAAACCAAGUGAUCUACCCUUGGCCAGGUUGAAGGCUGGGUAACACCAGCUGGAGGACCGCACCAAUAAGCGUUGAAAAGCUUCUGGAUGAGCUGAGGGUAGGGGUGAAAGGCUAAUCAAACUUGGAGAUAGCUCGUACUCCCCGAAAUGCAUUUAGGUGCAGCCUUGCGGGUUACUGAUGUGAGGUAGAGCGACUGAUAAGAUGCGAGGGCUUCACCGCCUAUCAAGUCUUGACAAACUCCGAAUGCGCAUCAGUUCUACCGCAGGAGUGAGGGCAUGGGUGCUAAGGUCCGUGCCCGAGAGGAGAAGAAUCCGGACCACCUGCUAAGGUCCCGAAAUGACAGCUAAGUUAAACUAACGAAGUCUGACUGCUAAGACAGCUAGGAUGUUGGCUUGGAAGCAGCCAUUCAUUUAAAGAGUGCGUAACAGCUCACUAGUCGAGGAGUCGGGCGUGGAUAAUAAUCGGGUAUCAAGUUGUCUACCGAAGCAGUGGGAUCAUUUAUAUGAUCGGUAGGGGAGCAUUCCAGUCAGCGUCGAAGGCGUACCGUGAGGUAUUCUGGAGCGUCUGGAAAAGCAAAUGUAGGUAUAAGUAACGAUAAAGGGGGCGGGAAACCCCCUCGCCGAAAGACUAAGGUUUCCUGAUCAACGCUAAUCGGAUCAGGGUCAGUCGGGUCCUAAGGCUCAGCCGAACGGCGAUGCCGAUGGCAGAAACGGUUAAUAUUCCGUUACUACCUUCAGGAGUGACGUGGAGACGCAGUAGUGACAGUGCCGCCAUCUGACGGAAUAGAUGGUUGAAGGGUGUAGGAGUCGAUCAUGGCAGGCAAAUCCACCAUGAGAUCCGAACCUGACAGUAUGCCGCGUCCUUCGGGACAAGGCAAUAGUGCGCGUAAGCAUGCUGCCGAGAAAAUCCGCUAAACUUAAUCCUGCAGGUACCCGUACCGCAAACGGACACACGUAGUCGGGUUGAAUAUACUAAGGCGCUUGAGUGAUUCACGGUUAAGGAACUAGGCAAACUGACCCUGUAACUUCGGGAUAAAGGGUCCCUACCCUUUUAUGGGAGGGCGCAGAGAAUCGGUCCAGGCAACUGUUUAACAAAAACACAGGGCUGUGCCAAAUCGAAAGAUCCAGUAUACAGCCUGACACCUGCCCGGUGCUGGAAGGUUAAGAGGAGAUGUCAUCGAUAAGAGAAGCGUUGAAUUGAAGCCCCAGUAAACGGCGGCCGUAACUAUAACGGUCCUAAGGUAGCGAAAUUCCUUGUCGGGUAAGUUCCGACCUGCACGAAUGG